RNAcentral lists this ribosomal RNA (253 nucleotides) under uncultured bacterium. RNAcentral's name for it is "partial 16S ribosomal RNA". It matches the Rfam family "Bacterial small subunit ribosomal RNA", at positions 524 to 776 of the family's 1533-position model. The record is from RNAcentral.
UACGUAGGGGGCAAGCGUUGUCCGGAAUCAUUGGGCGUAAAGAGCGUGUAGGCGGUCCGUUAAGUCGGCUGUGAAAGUCCAAGGCUCAACCUUGGGAUGCCGGUCGAUACUGCCGGACUAGAGUUCGGAAGAGGCGAGUGGAAUUCCCGGUGUAGCGGUGAAAUGCGCAGAUAUCGGGAGGAACACCAAUGGCGAAGGCAGCUCGCUGGGACGGUACUGACGCUGAGGCGCGAAAGCGUGGGGAGCAAACAGG